UUUUUAACUAUUUUAUAUUCUAAAAUUCAAAAGAAAUAAAAUUGUUCAUCUCAUGCCCUACCCACCUACGGUUUCUUCCUCACAAUCUUUCCCCUCCCCAAAUUAAAAGCCCUAGCAUUCUUCCUCACCUCCUCUUUCGCCGGUGCCGUCAACCACCACCGCCUCCUCCAUCACGCCGGCAAGCACUCUCUCUCGCUCUCUCUCUGUAAUUGUUCAUUUCAUCUCUGUCAGCUUUCGCUUCCGCACCCGCCGCUGUUUCCGCUGGCCUCUGUUUUUCGAGGUUAAUUCCAGAGCUGCUCUGCUUCGAGAUUGAGGAUGGAGUUUGAUUGAGUUUGAUUGUUUUCUCCACCAAAAGAAAACUCUUCUAGUUCUCCUCUCAUUCAAGGCAAUAGGUUGACAGUGAUAUUAUUAGCUUCAUGUAAGAUGAUCUUCACUCUUGUUCUCACAUUGAUUAAAAGCACAUAAAUUCUGCAAUAUAACUUAAUUUAUGAGAAUCAGUGAUACUUGGAGUUGCAAUCCUUGUCUUAAUUGGCGGUUGCAUAUUUUGUCUCACAGUGAUACCGAGAUUGAAGGCUAAAUGAGCUCAAGGUGAUCACGCAGAACUUCUCGUCGAGUAAUUUCCUUGGUGAAAGUGGCUUCGGCCCGGUCUACAAGGGCUUCAUCGAUGACAAGAUGCGCCCCUGGUUAAAGGCCCAGCUCGUCGCUGUUAAGCUCCUCGAUUUGGAUGGAUCACAGGGCCACAAAGAAUGGUUGAAGUGAUUUUUCUUGGUAAAUUAAGACAAGCUCAGUUGAUGAAGUUUAUCGGACACUGUUGCGAGGAAGAACACAAGCUUUUGGUAUAUGAAUACAUACAAAGAGGAAGCCUCGAAAACCAGCUUUUUAGAAGUACAGAGAAGCUAUCAAAAUGUCAGAUUCUUGUAGCCAGAAUUUUAGCCAACUUUUUCACCAGAGAAAUUUGAAGAGUGCAAUAUGUUGCUGACAACGUACUCUAAUUUUCUUUUCGUUUGGAGAUAGUUAGUACUAGGAUUUAGAGCUAUUUUCAUAGCAUAUAAGAUAACAACUAUUGGUUUUAAGUCUUUUAGUUUAUUUAUUAUUUAUAAUUGUAACAAAAUUCGAAUAGAUGUUUGAAAUGAUUAUAAUAUUGAUGUUUAUAGUUAAA
Long non-coding RNA from Salvia miltiorrhiza (redroot sage), 1159 nucleotides. RefSeq lists it as uncharacterized. The transcript has 5 exons. NCBI's taxonomy places the organism in Eukaryota, Viridiplantae, Streptophyta, Magnoliopsida, Lamiales, Lamiaceae. The record is from RefSeq and is a predicted model, not a curated record.